Molecule: ribosomal RNA, 326 nt
Filed under: uncultured eukaryote
Lineage: Eukaryota
Description: partial 18S ribosomal RNA
Rfam family: Eukaryotic small subunit ribosomal RNA
Source: RNAcentral
CCCCUAGAUGUUCUGGGCCGCACGCGCGCUACACUGAACAGUUCAACAAGUCUUAACCUUGGCCGAUAGGUCUGGGUAAUCUUUGAACGCUGUUCGUGAUUGGGAUAGACCUUUGCAAUUAUGGGUCUUCAACGAGGAAUUCCUAGUAAACGCAAGUCAUCAGCUUGCAUUGAUUACGUCCCUGCCCUUUGUACACACCGCCCGUCGCUCCUACCGAUUGAGCAAUCCGGUGAAUAUUUUGGACAGUCGAGCGUAUCGGUUCGCCGGUGUGCUUGUACUGGAAAUCAAGUGAACCUUAUUGCUUAGAGGAAGGAGAAGUCGUAACA